RNAcentral lists this ribosomal RNA (376 nucleotides) under uncultured bacterium. RNAcentral's name for it is "bacterial SSU rRNA". It matches the Rfam family "Bacterial small subunit ribosomal RNA", at positions 524 to 898 of the family's 1533-position model. The record is from RNAcentral.
GACGGAGGGUGCUAGCGUUAUUCGGAUUUAUUGGGCGUAAAGGGUGUGUAGGCGGUCGGCCAAGUCUGAUGUGAAAGCCCGGGGCUUAACCUCGGAAGGGCGUUGGAAACUGGUCGACUUGAGUUCGGGAGAGGGAAGCGGAAUUCCGGGUGUAGAGGUGAAAUUCGUAGAUAUCCGCAGGAACACCGGUGGCGAAGGCGGCUUCCUGGACCGAAACUGACGCUGAGACACGAAAGCGUGGGGAGCAAACAGGAUUAGAUACCCUGGUAGUCCACGCGGUAAACGAUGGGCGCUAGGUGUGGGGGGUUUUUAAUCCCUCCGUGCCGCAGCUAACGCAUUAAGCGCCCCGCCUGGGGAGUACGGCCGCAAGGUUAAA